Molecule: ribosomal RNA, 439 nt
Filed under: uncultured bacterium
Lineage: Bacteria
Description: partial 16S ribosomal RNA
Rfam family: Bacterial small subunit ribosomal RNA
Source: RNAcentral
CUACGGGAUGCACCAGUGAGGAAUAUUGCACAAUGGGGGGAACCCUGAUGCAGCAACGCCGCGUGGAGGAUGACGCAUUUCGGUGUGUAAACUCCUUUUAUAUGUAAAGAAAAUGACGGUAGCAUAUGAAUAAGCGCCGGCUAACUCCGUGCCAGCAGCCGCGGUAAUACGGAGGGCGCAAGCGUUACUCGGAAUCACUGGGCGUAAGGGACGCGUAGGCGGGUUGAAAAGUCAGGUGUGAAAGCCUACAGCUUAACUGUAGAACUGCAUUUGAAACUCUCAAUCUAGAGUAUGGGAGGGGCAGAUGGAAUUAGUGGUGUAGGGGUAAAAUCCGUAGAUAUCACUAGGAAUACCUAAAGCGAAGGCGAUCUGCUGGAACAUUACUGACGCUAAGGCGUGAAAGCGUGGGGAGCAAACAGGAUUAGAUACCCCUGUAGUC